This 506-nucleotide ribosomal RNA is filed under the name uncultured bacterium. Its description in RNAcentral is "partial 16S ribosomal RNA". It matches the Rfam family "Bacterial small subunit ribosomal RNA", at positions 28 to 523 of the family's 1533-position model. The record is from RNAcentral.
GACGAACGCUGGCGGCGUGCUUAACACAUGCAAGUCGAACGGCAGCAUGGUGUGUAGUAAUACACAUUGAUGGCGAGUGGCGGACGGGUGAGUAACGCGUAGGGACCUGCCUUUAAGAGAGGGACAACCUUAGGAAACUGGGGCUAAUACCGGAUAAAGUCGAAAGACCAAAGGCUGGGUGGAGACACCUGGCGCUUAGAGAGGGGCCUGCGUCUGAUUAGCUAGUUGGUGGGGUAAAGGCCCACCAAGGCGAUGAUCGGUAGCUGGUCUGAGAGGACGACCGGCCAAACUGGGACUGAGACACGGCCCAGACUCCUACGGGAGGCAGCAGUGGGGAAUAUUGGACAAUGGGGGCAACCCUGAUCCAGCAAUGCCGCGUGUGUGAAGAAGGCCUUCGGGUUGUAAAGCACUUAGGCUGGGAAGAAGGAGAGUUGUUUAAGAGAUGAUUCUUUUGACUGUACCGGCAGAAUAAGCACCGGCUAACUCUGUGCCAGCCGCCGCCGUAA